UACGAACCGUGCGAACGUUGUUCGGAAUCACUGGGCUUAAAGGGCGCGUAGGCGGCCUGAUAAGUAGGGGGUGAAAUCCUGUGGCUCAACUGCAGGGCUGCCUCCUAGACUGUCGGGCUUGAGCACGGUAGAGGCAGAUGGAAUUCCCGGUGUAGCGGUGAAAUGCGCAGAUAUCAGGAAGAACACCCGUGGCGAAGGCGGCUCUCUGGGACGGUACUGACGCUGAGACGCGAAAGCGUGGGGAGCGAACAGG
This 253-nucleotide ribosomal RNA is filed under the name uncultured bacterium. Its description in RNAcentral is "partial 16S ribosomal RNA". It matches the Rfam family "Bacterial small subunit ribosomal RNA", at positions 524 to 776 of the family's 1533-position model. The record is from RNAcentral.